RNAcentral lists this ribosomal RNA (598 nucleotides) under Enterobacter hormaechei. Its description in RNAcentral is "bacterial SSU rRNA". It matches the Rfam family "Bacterial small subunit ribosomal RNA", at positions 558 to 1157 of the family's 1533-position model. The record is from RNAcentral. Lineage: Bacteria; Pseudomonadati; Pseudomonadota; Gammaproteobacteria; Enterobacterales; Enterobacteriaceae.
GCGUAAGCGCACGCAGGCGGUCUGUCAAGUCGGAUGUGAAAUCCCCGGGCUCAACCUGGGAACUGCAUUCGAAACUGGCAGGCUAGAGUCUUGUAGAGGGGGGUAGAAUUCCAGGUGUAGCGGUGAAAUGCGUAGAGAUCUGGAGGAAUACCGGUGGCGAAGGCGGCCCCCUGGACAAAGACUGACGCUCAGGUGCGAAAGCGUGGGGAGCAAACAGGAUUAGAUACCCUGGUAGUCCACGCCGUAAACGAUGUCGACUUGGAGGUUGUGCCCUUGAGGCGUGGCUUCCGGAGCUAACGCGUUAAGUCGACCGCCUGGGGAGUACGGCCGCAAGGUUAAAACUCAAAUGAAUUGACGGGGGCCCGCACAAGCGGUGGAGCAUGUGGUUUAAUUCGAUGCAACGCGAAGAACCUUACCUACUCUUGACAUCCAGAGAACUUUCCAGAGAUGGAUUGGUGCCUUCGGGAACUCUGAGACAGGUGCUGCAUGGCUGUCGUCAGCUCGUGUUGUGAAAUGUUGGGUUAAGUCCCGCAACGAGCGCAACCCUUAUCCUUUGUUGCCAGCGGUUAGGCCGGGAACUCAAAGGAGACUGCCAGUG